RNAcentral lists this ribosomal RNA (779 nucleotides) under uncultured bacterium. RNAcentral describes it as "bacterial SSU rRNA". It matches the Rfam family "Bacterial small subunit ribosomal RNA", at positions 56 to 812 of the family's 1533-position model. The record is from RNAcentral.
UGCAAGUCGAGCGAUCCCCCUUUCGGGGGGGAUAGCGGCAAACGGGUGAGGAACACGUGGGUAACUUGCCCCUCAGACAGGGAUAACUUGCCGAAAGGCAAGCUAAUACCGGGUAAGCUCACACCAUCGCAUGGUGGAGUGAGAAAAGAUGGGGACCUCCUUCGGGAGGCCUAUCGCUGAGGGAGAGACCUGCGUUCUAUCAGCUUGUUGGUGGGGUUACGGCCUACCAAGGCGACGACGGAUAGCUGGCCUGAGAGGGUGGUCAGCCACACUGGGACUGAGACACUGCCCAGACUCCUACGGGAGGCUGCAGUCGAGAAUCUUUCGCAAUGGGGGAGACCCUGACGAUGCGACGCCGCGUGCAGGAUGAAGGCCUUCGGGUUGUAAACUGCUGUCAGGAGGGACGAAUGCCCGUGUCCAAAUAGGCUCACGGGAGUGACGGUACCUCCAGAGGAAGCCACGGCUAACUCCGUGCCAGCAGCCGCGGUAAUACGGGGGUGGCAAGCGUUGCUCGGAUUCAUUGGGUGUAAAGGGUGUGCAGGCGGUUUGGUCAGUCGGGCGUGAAAGCCCCGGGCUCAACCCGGGAAAGUCGUCCGAUACUGCUAGACUCGAGUGUGGGAGAGGAAAGCGGAACUCUUGGUGUAAGGGUGAAAUCUGUAGAUAUCAAGAGGAACACCGGUGGCGAAGGCGGCUUUCUGGACCACAACUGACGCUGAGACACGAAAGCGUGGGGAGCAAACAGGAUUAGAUACCCUGGUAGUCCACGCCGUAAACGAUGA